Long non-coding RNA from Helianthus annuus (common sunflower), 255 nucleotides. RefSeq lists it as uncharacterized. The record is from RefSeq and is a predicted model, not a curated record. Lineage: Eukaryota; Viridiplantae; Streptophyta; Magnoliopsida; Asterales; Asteraceae. The transcript has 3 exons.
ACUUCUCUCUCAAACUCUCUAGUGUAGCAAAAAAGCAACAAAUUUUUGGAAUUCAUUUUAUUCUUGGAUUUUCUUCUUAGAAGGAUAAACCGUUUGUUCGUUCUCUUGGAUUGUUCCAAUCUUUACUCGUACGUUCUUACAAGAAAUCGCAACGCAAUCAACGUUGAAGAUGAUGAUUGCUAUGAAAUGAAGUAGCGAUGAUACCUAGAAACACAUUUAGACGUGUUAGUUUUAAUAUGACUUGAUGUUUUUAUG